AGAGUUUGAUCAUGGCUCAGGAUGAACGCUAGCUACAGGCUUAACACAUGCAAGUCGAGGGGAAACGACAUCGAAAGCUUGCUUUUGAUGGGCGUCGACCGGCGCACGGGUGAGUAACGCGUAUCCAACCUGCCCACCACUUGGGGAUAACCUUGCGAAAGUAAGACUAAUACCCAAUGACGUCUCUAGAAGACACCUGAAAGGGAUUAAAGAUUUAUCGGUGAUGGAUGGGGAUGCGUCUGAUUAGCUUGUUGGCGGGUAACGGCCACGAAGGCUACGAUCAGUAGGGGUUCUGAGAGGAAGGUCCCCCANAUUGGAACUGAGACACGGUCCAAACUCCUAAGGGAGGCCA
This 352-nucleotide ribosomal RNA is filed under the name uncultured bacterium. RNAcentral describes it as "bacterial SSU rRNA". It matches the Rfam family "Bacterial small subunit ribosomal RNA", at positions 8 to 351 of the family's 1533-position model. The record is from RNAcentral.